RNAcentral lists this ribosomal RNA (1084 nucleotides) under Klebsiella pneumoniae. RNAcentral's name for it is "bacterial SSU rRNA". It matches the Rfam family "Bacterial small subunit ribosomal RNA", at positions 68 to 1146 of the family's 1533-position model. Lineage: Bacteria; Pseudomonadati; Pseudomonadota; Gammaproteobacteria; Enterobacterales; Enterobacteriaceae. The record is from RNAcentral.
AGCACAGAGAGCUUGCUCUCGGGUGACGAGCGGCGGACGGGUGAGUAAUGUCUGGGAAACUGCCUGAUGGAGGGGGAUAACUACUGGAAACGGUAGCUAAUACCGCAUAACGUCGCAAGACCAAAGUGGGGGACCUUCGGGCCUCAUGCCAUCAGAUGUGCCCAGAUGGGAUUAGCUGGUAGGUGGGGUAACGGCUCACCUAGGCGACGAUCCCUAGCUGGUCUGAGAGGAUGACCAGCCACACUGGAACUGAGACACGGUCCAGACUCCUACGGGAGGCAGCAGUGGGGAAUAUUGCACAAUGGGCGCAAGCCUGAUGCAGCCAUGCCGCGUGUGUGAAGAAGGCCUUCGGGUUGUAAAGCACUUUCAGCGGGGAGGAAGGCGGGUGAGGUUAAUAACCUCAUCGAUUGACGUUACCCGCAGAAGAAGCACCGGCUAACUCCGUGCCAGCAGCCGCGGUAAUACGGAGGGUGCAAGCGUUAAUCGGAAUUACUGGGCGUAAAGCGCACGCAGGCGGUCUGUCAAGUCGGAUGUGAAAUCCCCGGGCUCAACCUGGGAACUGCAUUCGAAACUGGCAGGCUAGAGUCUUGUAGAGGGGGGUAGAAUUCCAGGUGUAGCGGUGAAAUGCGUAGAGAUCUGGAGGAAUACCGGUGGCGAAGGCGGCCCCCUGGACAAAGACUGACGCUCAGGUGCGAAAGCGUGGGGAGCAAACAGGAUUAGAUACCCUGGUAGUCCACGCUGUAAACGAUGUCGAUUUGGAGGUUGUGCCCUUGAGGCGUGGCUUCCGGAGCUAACGCGUUAAAUCGACCGCCUGGGGAGUACGGCCGCAAGGUUAAAACUCAAAUGAAUUGACGGGGGCCCGCACAAGCGGUGGAGCAUGUGGUUUAAUUCGAUGCAACGCGAAGAACCUUACCUGGUCUUGACAUCCACAGAACUUUCCAGAGAUGCAUUGGUGCCUUCGGGAACUGUGAGACAGGUGCUGCAUGGCUGUCGUCAGCUCGUGUUGUGAAAUGUUGGGUUAAGUCCCGCAACGAGCGCAACCCUUAUCCUUUGUUGCCAGCGGUUAGGCCGGGAACUCAAAGGA